GUGGGGAAUAUUGGACAAUGGGCGAAAGCCUGAUCCAGCCAUGCCGCGUGAGUGAUGAAGGCCCUAGGGUUGUAAAGCUCUUUCACCGGUGAAGAUAAUGACGGUAACCGGAGAAGAAGCCCCGGCUAACUUCGUGCCAGCAGCCGCGGUAAUACGAAGGGGGCUAGCGUUGUUCGGAAUUACUGGGCGUAAAGCGCACGUAGGCGGACUAUUAAGUCAGGGGUGAAAUCCCGGGGCUCAACCCCGGAACUGCCUUUGAUACUGGUAGUCUCGAGUCCGGAAGAGGUGAGUGGAAUUCCGAGUGUAGAGGUGAAAUUCGUAGAUAUUCGGAGGAACACCAGUGGCGAAGGCGGCUCACUGGUCCGGUACUGACGCUGAGGUGCGAAAGCGUGGGGAGCAAACAGGAUUAGAAACCCGUGUAGUCC
Molecule: ribosomal RNA, 425 nt
Filed under: uncultured bacterium
Lineage: Bacteria
Description: partial 16S ribosomal RNA
Rfam family: Bacterial small subunit ribosomal RNA
Source: RNAcentral